GUAUGGUUUGGUAAUUAGAAGCCGUUUUUUAUGGGAAAAAUUUUAUGGCCAAUUUGCAUAAAAAAUUCACUUAUUUUGGGCUUUUGCAAAAUCGGGCCACCUUUUUCAUUUUUGCAGAUUUGGUCCGCUUUUUCAGCAAACUGACCAAAAUACCCUUAUUACUUUUUCUCUUUCCUCUUUCUCUCUCUUCUUCGUUUCUCUCGUUCUUUUUUUUUUUUCUCGCCGGUAGAGCGGAGGCGGAGCGGAGGCAGAAACGGUCCGUCUCGCCUCUCACCGUCAUGCUCUCGCCCUCGCCCUUGUCCUCGUCCAUGCA
This 313-nucleotide long non-coding RNA is filed under the name Ananas comosus (pineapple). RNAcentral's name for it is "long non-coding RNA (ACOM_LNC021741)". The record is from RNAcentral. Lineage: Eukaryota; Viridiplantae; Streptophyta; Magnoliopsida; Poales; Bromeliaceae.